CUUUAUGAUGAAACGGCACUGGGCUCCGACUCAAGUAUGAGCAAGACAUGCCACUUCUGCGACAGGCCUAGAAAACCUCGUCCACUGAAU
This 90-nucleotide small nucleolar RNA is filed under the name Sporothrix schenckii ATCC 58251. Its description in RNAcentral is "A. fumigatus snoRNA Afu_513". It matches the Rfam family "A. fumigatus snoRNA Afu_513". Lineage: Eukaryota; Fungi; Ascomycota; Sordariomycetes; Ophiostomatales; Ophiostomataceae. The record is from Rfam by way of RNAcentral.